Molecule: long non-coding RNA, 238 nt
Filed under: Ananas comosus (pineapple)
Lineage: Eukaryota; Viridiplantae; Streptophyta; Magnoliopsida; Poales; Bromeliaceae
Description: long non-coding RNA (ACOM_LNC008089)
Source: RNAcentral
UAAAUAAAUGAUGCACUAAUAAAAUAAAUAAUGGACCGUCCCUAGAGCAAGUGACAAAAGGUUUGGUGGUUGGUAUCCAAGACCCAAGUUCGAAUCUUAGUUGAUUUACAUUUUCAGCUAAGUUUAUUUCUAAAUAAAAUAAACGAAGCUGGUAGCGUACUACCUAUCUUUCAAAAAAAAAAAUAAAUGCAAUCUCCUAUUAUUCAAUAAUUUACACAAUAACCAAUAUAAAGUAAGU